This is a small nuclear RNA of Nycticebus coucang (slow loris), 106 nucleotides long. The record is from RefSeq and is a predicted model, not a curated record. Lineage: Eukaryota; Metazoa; Chordata; Mammalia; Primates; Lorisidae.
GUGUCACUUUGGCAGCACAUUAACUAAAAUUCAAAUGAUACAGAGAAGAUUAGCAUGGCCUGUACACAAGGACGACAGGCAAAUUCAUGAAGUGUUUCAUAUUAUA